This 381-nucleotide ribosomal RNA is filed under the name uncultured eukaryote. Its description in RNAcentral is "partial 18S ribosomal RNA". It matches the Rfam family "Eukaryotic small subunit ribosomal RNA", at positions 592 to 976 of the family's 1831-position model. The record is from RNAcentral.
CAAUAGCGUAUAUUAAAGCUGUUGCGGUUAAAAAGCUCGUAGUUGGAUUUCUGUCAAGGACAACUGGUCCGCCCUCCGGGUGAGCACAUAGUUUGGUCUUGACAUCUUGCUGGAAGCUGUUGCUGCACUUGGCUGUGUGGCGCAGUGUUCAGCACUUUCACUUUGAGGAAAUUGGAGUGUUUCAAGCAGGCACAUGCCUUUGGACACAGUAGCAUGGAAUAAUUAGAUUGGGCUUUUGCUCCAAUUUGUCGGUUUCUGGAGCUGAGGUGAGUAUUAAUGGGGAUUGUUGGGGGCAUCCGAAUUUAGCCGUCAGAGGUGAAAUUCUUAGAUCUGCUAAAGACGGACAACUGCGAAAGCGUUUGCCCAGGAUGUUUUCAUUGA